This 619-nucleotide ribosomal RNA is filed under the name Massilia sp. AH1. RNAcentral describes it as "bacterial SSU rRNA". It matches the Rfam family "Bacterial small subunit ribosomal RNA", at positions 41 to 655 of the family's 1533-position model. Lineage: Bacteria; Pseudomonadati; Pseudomonadota; Betaproteobacteria; Burkholderiales; Oxalobacteraceae. The record is from RNAcentral.
GGCAUGCUUUACACAUGCAAGUCGAACGGCAGCACGGGCUUCGGCCUGGUGGCGAGUGGCGAACGGGUGAGUAAUACAUCGGAACGUACCCAGAAGUGGGGGAUAACGUAGCGAAAGUUACGCUAAUACCGCAUACGUUCUACGGAAGAAAGUGGGGGAUCGCAAGACCUCAUGCUUUUGGAGCGGCCGAUGUCUGAUUAGCUAGUUGGUGGGGUAAAGGCUCACCAAGGCGACGAUCAGUAGCUGGUCUGAGAGGACGACCAGCCACACUGGAACUGAGACACGGUCCAGACUCCUACGGGAGGCAGCAGUGGGGAAUUUUGGACAAUGGGCGCGAGCCUGAUCCAGCAAUGCCGCGUGAGUGAAGAAGGCCUUCGGGUUGUAAAGCUCUUUUGUCAGGGAAGAAACGGCUGAGGCUAAUAUCCUCGGCUAAUGACGGUACCUGAAGAAUAAGCACCGGCUAACUACGUGCCAGCAGCCGCGGUAAUACGUAGGGUGCAAGCGUUAAUCGGAAUUACUGGGCGUAAAGCGUGCGCAGGCGGUUUUGUAAGUCUGAUGUGAAAUCCCCGGGCUCAACCUGGGAAUUGCAUUGGAGACUGCAAGGCUGGAGUCUGGCAGA